This is a small nuclear RNA of Ochotona curzoniae (black-lipped pika), 104 nucleotides long. Lineage: Eukaryota; Metazoa; Chordata; Mammalia; Lagomorpha; Ochotonidae. The record is from RefSeq and is a predicted model, not a curated record.
AUGCCCUCUUCGGCACAUAUACUAAAACUGGAAUGAUGCAAGCAUCAUUAGUAUGGCCCCUGCACAAGGAUAGCAUGCAAAUUCAUGAAGCAUUUCAUAUUAAA